RNAcentral lists this ribosomal RNA (232 nucleotides) under uncultured bacterium. RNAcentral describes it as "partial 16S ribosomal RNA". It matches the Rfam family "Bacterial small subunit ribosomal RNA", at positions 104 to 334 of the family's 1533-position model. The record is from RNAcentral.
CGGGGUGAGUAACGCGUGGGUAACCUGCCUUAUACAGGGGGAUAACAGUCAGAAAUGGCUGCUAAUACCGCAUAAGCGCACAGAGCUGCAUGGCUCAGUGUGAAAAACUCCGGUGGUAUAAGAUGGACCCGCGUUGGAUUAGCUGGUUGGUGGGGUAACGGCCCACCAAGGCGACGAUCCAUAGCCGGCCUGAGAGGGUGAACGGCCACAUUGGGACUGAGACACGGUCCAG